AUUGAACGCUGGCGGCAUGCCUUACACAUGCAAGUCGAACGGCAGCACGGGGGCAACCCUGGUGGCGAGUGGCGGACGGGUGAGUAAUGCAUCGGAACGUGCCCUGAAGUGGGGGAUAACGCAGCGAAAGCUACGCUAAUACCGCAUAUUCUGUGAGCAGGAAAGCAGGGGAUCGCAAGACCUUGCGCUUUGGGAGCGGCCGAUGUCGGAUUAGCUAGUUGGUGGGGUAAGGCCUACCAAGGCGACGAUCCGUAGCGGGUCUGAGAGGAUGAUCCGCCACACUGGGACUGAGACACGGCCCAGACUCCUACGGGAGGCAGCAGUGGGGAAUUUUGGACAAUGGGCGAAAGCCUGAUCCAGCCAUGCCGCGUGAGUGAAGAA
RNAcentral lists this ribosomal RNA (381 nucleotides) under uncultured bacterium. RNAcentral's name for it is "bacterial SSU rRNA". It matches the Rfam family "Bacterial small subunit ribosomal RNA", at positions 29 to 412 of the family's 1533-position model. The record is from RNAcentral.